RNAcentral lists this ribosomal RNA (455 nucleotides) under uncultured bacterium. Its description in RNAcentral is "bacterial SSU rRNA". It matches the Rfam family "Bacterial small subunit ribosomal RNA", at positions 339 to 794 of the family's 1533-position model. The record is from RNAcentral.
CUACGGGAGGCGAGAAUUUUUCACAAUGGGCGCAAGCCUGAUGGAGCGACGCCGCGUGGGGGAUGAAUGGCUUCGGCCCGUAAACCCCUGUCAGUCGCGAACAAGUCGUCCGGUCUAAUACGUCGGACGUUGAUAGUAGCGGAAGAGGAAGGGACGGCUAACUCUGUGCCAGCAGCCGCGGUAAUACAGAGGUCCCGAGCGUUGUUCGGAUUCACUGGGCGUAAAGGGUGCGUAGGCGGUCGGAUGAGUCUGAUGUGAAAUCUCGGAGCUCAACUCCGAAACGGCAUUGGAUACUAUCCGGCUUGAGGGUUGGAGGGGGGACUGGAAUUCUCGGUGUAGCAGUGAAAUGCGUAGAUAUCGAGAGGAACACCAGUGGCGAAGGCGAGUCCCUGGACAACCCCUGACGCUGAGGCACGAAAGCUAGGGGAGCAAACAGGAUUAGAUACCCCGGUAGG